Molecule: small nucleolar RNA, 133 nt
Organism: Arvicanthis niloticus (Nile rat)
Lineage: Eukaryota; Metazoa; Chordata; Mammalia; Rodentia; Muridae
Product: small nucleolar RNA SNORA17
Source: RefSeq, a predicted model, not a curated record
CCUGCCCCUAGAGUCAUUGAUGGUGUGGCUGCUAUAUUACAUGUUGUAUCAGUAGGUGGCAGAGAAGAGAAAGGGUAUGUCUACACUCAGUAAUCUGACCUAUGAACAUCUGAACAAUUAGUAGCCUAACAUU